This is a long non-coding RNA of Apis mellifera (honey bee), 1045 nucleotides long. RefSeq lists it as uncharacterized. The record is from RefSeq and is a predicted model, not a curated record. The transcript is spliced from 2 exons. Lineage: Eukaryota; Metazoa; Arthropoda; Insecta; Hymenoptera; Apidae.
CUUUUUUUUCUCUCCCCUCCCCUUUUUUUCCUGUCCUUCGCCAAUUUGUUAACGUCCUGUGGAAAAAAAAAGAAACGAGGAAAAUCUCCACUUUCGAGGAGAAAGAAUAAUAAUGAAAUUAUAUAUAUUUUUUUUGUAUUACUUACUAUGAUUUUUAAUAUUUAGAAUAAAAGUUAUCUUUAAUAUGUUAAAGAUUCGAAUGAUUUUGAUCAUUGUUUAAAGUAAAAUUAUUAUAUAAAAUAUAUUUGACAAUAUUUUCAUAGAAUUUGGAAUAUUUAAAAAGUUGUGUGUGUCAACGGCCUACACAAUUUUGAAAGUUGUACGUCAUUAGCAUCAUUACGUAAGCGUGUAAUAUAACGAGAACGAGGCGAUAACGAUCUACUUAUACAUCAUUCCAUUUCUCCACCGAGUGGAGGACACUUGCGAAAUUCAUAUUCUUUUAAAUAUGAAAGUCUCGCGAGAAUUUGGUUGCCAAGCGUUAAAUAAUAAAGCGAUGUAAGCUUGUGUCCAGCUUGGAUAUUUCGCGAUCAACCCUUUGAACGAAGUUUUAUAUUAAAGUUGGACUGUGAAAUAUCACCACGUUUUCUCUGUGUUACAUUCACGUAUUUAAUCGUAUUAUCUUCAAUUUCACUGCAGUUCUUCCGGAAACAACAUGGUAACAAACAUGAAAUGGAAUUUUCAAUUUUCUUUGUAAAAUUGAAUGUACGAUAAUUUACGGGAUAGGAGAGGAAAAUUUUAAAAAAUACUGUCGAGUGAUGAGCAAAAUGUAUAAUUUGUAAAGGAGAAUUAUCUUCUUGUUGAGAAUUCAAAAUACGUUGAUUUUAAAAUGAGACAUUUACAGAAACAUUUGCAUAUAAAGAUAUUGAGAUAAAGAUAAGCAAGGAAUAUUAAAAUAGAAUGCACAAAAGGGAUUGUGCAUUCGCAAUAUUUGUUAAUAAACAUUUUACCAAUCCCAUUUAGGAAUCGAUAUGGAUAUGUUCAAUAAUUGAUAAUCAAAUCUAUAAUGGACAGGGGAACGACGUCACCAGAAAAAUAAUGGAGACUU